Molecule: non-coding RNA, 23 nt
Filed under: Arabidopsis thaliana (thale cress)
Lineage: Eukaryota; Viridiplantae; Streptophyta; Magnoliopsida; Brassicales; Brassicaceae
Source: RNAcentral
UGUAAUGGCUGUUAGGAGCGCUA